This 557-nucleotide ribosomal RNA is filed under the name uncultured bacterium. RNAcentral describes it as "partial 16S ribosomal RNA". It matches the Rfam family "Bacterial small subunit ribosomal RNA", at positions 355 to 905 of the family's 1533-position model. The record is from RNAcentral.
UGGGGAAUUUUGGACAAUGGGCGAAAGCCUGAUCCAGCAAUGCCGCGUGUGUGAAGAAGGCCUUCGGGUUGUAAAGCACUUUUGUCCGGAAAGAAAUCCUUGGCUCUAAUACAGUCGGGGGAUGACGGUACCGGAAGAAUAAGCACCGGCUAACUACGUGCCAGCAGCCGCGGUAAUACGUAGGGUGCAAGCGUUAGUCGGAAUUACUGGGCGUAAAGCGUGCGCAGGCGGUUUGCUAAGACCGAUGUGAAAUCCCCGGGCUCAACCUGGGAACUGCAUUGGUGACUGGCAGGCUAGAGUAUGGCAGAGGGGGGUAGAAUUCCACGUGUAGCAGUGAAAUGCGUAGAGAUGUGGAGGAAUACCGAUGGCGAAGGCAGCCCCCUGGGCCAAUACUGACGCUCAUGCACGAAAGCGUGGGGAGCAAACAGGACUAGAUACCCUGGUAGUCUACGCCCUAAACGAUGUCAACUAGUUGUUGGGGAUUCAUUCCUUAGUAACGUAGCUAACGCGUGAAGUUGACCGCCUGGGGGAGUACGGUCGCAAGAUUAAAACUCAAA